GGAUGCGAUCAUACCAGCACUAACGUAACGGAUCCCAUCAGAACUUUGAAAUGAAGCGUGCUUGGGCGAGAAUAGUACUAAGAUGGGUGACCCCCUGGGAAGUCCUCGUGUUGCAUCUC
Non-coding RNA from Nicotiana sylvestris (wood tobacco), 119 nucleotides. NCBI's taxonomy places the organism in Eukaryota, Viridiplantae, Streptophyta, Magnoliopsida, Solanales, Solanaceae. The record is from Rfam.